CUUACUUUUUUUUUUAUUCCUCGAAAAUUGAGAAAUCUAUCUUUCUAUCUUAUACUUACACAAACUUCGAAUUAAAUAAUUAAAAAUUAUACAUUUUUCGAUCGAACUAUUUCGAUCUAUUUCGUUUUUAAUUUUUAAUUUUAAUCAAAAGAGAGAAAAAGAAAAAGAAAUUAACAAUUAAUUAUAAGAUAAUCAAUUGGUCGGAUAUUAAUCUUCGAUUUUUGAACUUUGAAAAAUUAAAUGAAAAUUUCGAAAUUUAAUGUUCGAUGAUGAAUGUGCUCCUCCAGUUCGAUUCGAAGUGAAAACAAACAAGACACGAGGUUGUGUGACGCGUAUAUAAUAAUCACGACAUUGAAGAAAAGCCGGUGUUUGAUACACGGCCAACGAUAACGGUGGUCUUCGUUAAUAGGCAUACAGGGUCCGCGAGCUAAUCAACGGCAGUUUGACUUCGGCUUACACCGGGCUCCGGUGGCAAUUUCAAUGGCGGCCGUGUCUUACCUGACGCCCCUGGUUCGCAGACCGCUCGAAACACGGUUUAAGAUGCCUCCUCGAUUCAAUCGCGGAGCACAAAAGCCGCUGUAUACACAAAUCCUUUCAUUCAAAACUCCUCCUCUCUCUCUGUCUCCCUUUUACGAGGAAUUAAACCAAUUUGCGGGGAGUUAAACAAAAGGGUCGCUCCUUCGAAAUUUCGAAACGAUUAUAUAAUUCGAUUCACUUUUUUUUUUCCAACUGGGAUCCAGUCCCAGAGAGAUUUCGACAGAAAAAGGUUUAAACGAAUAUUCAGGGAAUAUUCUGUUCAUCAAGAAACAAUUGUGUGUUAUAUUGAAAUAUUAAAAAAAAAAAAAAAGAAAUUAAAAUUACAAAGUGGAGUCCUCGUUUUCAUUACUGGAAAAUUAGGUACGUGGCAAUGUGAUAAUCAAGGAAAUCAACAAACGGCGAUAAUGGGAACGAUAAAUAAAUUACUGCGCACGGGUAUCUAAUGCGCAGGUAUAAAAUAAACGGAAGUGAAUAUUAACGAUUUCCAGGAAAUGUAUUUAUAUAUAUAUGUGGAAUCAUGAUAACAACAAUGAAUUUUCGUUCGUUUUUUUUUCUCCGAUAAUUCUAGAAAUCCAAUUAAUUAGAAAUCCACUACUCUCAAUUACGAGUAUUAUUUUAUUUUGGAUGAACAAAAUGAAUAACGUAAUACGUUCUCGUGUAAUAAAAUGUGUAAUAAUCCAUCCUCGUUAGAACAAUUAAUAUUUUUUUCGAACGUUUAACUUAUCGUUUCGACGAUACGAAUCGAAAAAUAAAAUUAUUCCGCGAUAUUUUUUAUUAUCGCAGAUCUAAAUUAUUAUUAUUAAGAUGUAGAGUUGUUGCAUUUUCGAAAAUGACGAUAAAAAAGAAUUAUUCGCAGAUCUUCAAUUUCGAGAAGGAUCGAUUCGUUCGACAAUUUAAAAGGGAAAAAGGGAGAAAAAAGAAAAAAAAAUGGAGAGAAAAAAUUUAAAGCGUUGAACAAACAUCUAUCGUUUGUCGUCGUCGUUGAAAUUCCUGCUGGAUUACAACGUGACGCGACAAAACGUUCAGAGAUCAUUACACAGUAGCAUGUUUCUCCUCGAAUAUCAGGAAAGUGCGCGUAUACGUUCGGCGGAGCACGUAUGUACUCGAGAAGUAUACACACACACACACAAAUACGCGCACACACGUGCACGAAUAAGGAUAGAAGACUCCCUUUUAUCCGGACAAAGAUCACCGGAGUCCUUAUUUCCUCGAGAUCUAUCCCCGUCUCCCCCCACCUCGCCAAUCCCAUUUUCCCCCGCUGUCUACUUUCACGGUAAGAGGCACGGUAAUCCCUGGGAGCGCCAAUGGAAGGGGAAGUCGUGAGACGAGCAUCCAACACUGACAUAUUCUCAGUGGAAACGCGGCAACAUCGCGAUUCGAUCGUUCCUUCCCUUUAAUCAAAAUAUACGAAUCAUCCUCUCCUCGCGAAAAAGUUUCAAAGUGUCGAAAGAUUUACGUUGUCGAUUCUCGUGGCAAAACGGGAAAAUAAAGUUUAAGGAGAGGAAGGAAGGCACGAACGAUAAUCCUUCGCAAAAAUUCGCAUCGCAUCGUAGGCAACGCCUGAUGCAUCCACGACCCGGAAGAUAUACGUGCAUAGGUUUGGUUGAAUCUCGCGAAACAAUGCCGCGGCUAAUGCCGAUGACACACCAGCGCCAUCUCGAGAACUCGGAAACUCUCGCGGAUGGUGGCGACCCACCUAGGACAAUACCAGGUCUCCAUGGUGACGUCACACUCUUGCCUGGAGUGACAUCGUCAUUAUAUGGGGAAUUGGAACUGGUGGUGAUGAUGCGCGGAAAGGAAAUAGCCUCGAAACGAUCCUCCAUGUGAUCCUCGCCUUUCUCCCCUUUCUGAUUCCAAGAUUCCACUUGAUCCGCGGAGAGAAUUCACACCCAGUUUACUUACGUGCGUCCGUCUUUAUCUUUUUUAUUUUUCUUUAUCUUGGAUUACUUGGAUUUAUCAAUAAACGAAAUCAUUGAUAAUUGUUCAAAGGUUGCUAAAGAGCCACUUUAUUGUUUAUUAAAAAAUUAUCAUAUCAAAUUUAUUUUUUAAAAAUUUCAUAUCAAAAAGAAAUGUUUCGAGUUUAAAUAGUUCAACUCAGAUUCAAUUUUAAUCGGGUUUAUUGUUAAGAAAAAAAUUAAAAAAAAUUCGAUUACAUAUUAAAUUGAUAAAUCGAAACGUGUCAUUUAAUCUCGAGAAUCCUUAUCGAGAAUAAAAAUUUAAUUCCUCGUUUAUGCAGAGUGUUUAUAUUGAAAUUCAUUUGAAAUAAUCAAUUGCACAUAAAAAAAAAUAUCAGUGUAUUUACUUUCAUCGAGGGGCUCCGCUACGCAAGCGACACUGAAAUACGGUACUGCCUCGCGUCCAGCUGAGCGCUCUCGCUCUUUCGCCGUCUUCUUUUAUCUAAUAUAAACAUAAACAAGCUUAUAAGUCGUUAAUUAACUCUUAUCGGACGUAUGUACAUAUAAAGUUUUUUCAUCGUUUCGACGUCUAGAAUAUCCACCCUCUAAAACUGUCUCACGUUUUUAUAAACACCCAUUAAUAAUUUUUUCCAA
Long non-coding RNA from Apis mellifera (honey bee), 3086 nucleotides. RefSeq lists it as uncharacterized. The record is from RefSeq and is a predicted model, not a curated record. The transcript is spliced from 2 exons. Lineage: Eukaryota; Metazoa; Arthropoda; Insecta; Hymenoptera; Apidae.